Molecule: ribosomal RNA, 429 nt
Filed under: bacterium
Lineage: Bacteria
Description: partial 16S ribosomal RNA
Rfam family: Bacterial small subunit ribosomal RNA
Source: RNAcentral
UAGGGAAUCUUCCACAAUGGACGCAAGUCUGAUGGAGCAACGCCGCGUGAGUGAAGAAGGUUUUCGGAUCGUAAAGCUCUGUUGUUGGUGAAGAAGGAUAGAGGCAGUAACUGGUCUUUAUUUGACGGUAAUCAACCAGAAAGUCACGGCUAACUACGUGCCAGCAGCCGCGGUAAUACGUAGGUUGCAAGCGUUGUCCGGAUUUAUUGGGCGUAAAGCGAGCGCAGGCGGAAUGGUAAGUCUGAUGUGAAAGCCCACGGCUCAACCGUGGAACUGCAUCGGAAACUGUCAUUCUUGAGUGCAGAAGAGGAGAGUGGAAUUCCAUGUGUAGCGGUGGAAUGCGUAGAUAUAUGGAAGAACACCAGUGGCGAAGGCGGCUCUCUGGUCUGCAACUGACGCUGAGGCUCGAAAGCAUGGGUAGCGAACAGG